Molecule: non-coding RNA, 91 nt
Organism: Nemania sp. NC0429
Lineage: Eukaryota; Fungi; Ascomycota; Sordariomycetes; Xylariales; Xylariaceae
Source: the annotation of a GenBank genome assembly
GGGCGAAUGGUCUAGGGGUAUGAUACUCCCUUCGCAUCUGACUUCAGAUUAAGACUGGGAGGGGUCCGGGGUUCAAUUCCCCGUUCGUCCA